Molecule: ribosomal RNA, 448 nt
Filed under: uncultured bacterium
Lineage: Bacteria
Description: SSU rRNA
Rfam family: Bacterial small subunit ribosomal RNA
Source: RNAcentral
AGAGCGAACGCUGGCGGCAGGCUUAACACAUGCAAGUCGAGCGGGCGUAGCAAUACGUCAGCGGCAGACGGGUGAGUAACGCGUGGGAACAUACCUUUUGGUUCGGAACAACACAGGGAAACUUGUGCUAAUACCGGAUAAGCCCUUACGGGGAAAGAUUUAUCGCCGAAAGAUUGGCCCGCGUCUGAUUAGCUAGUUGGUGAGGUAACGGCUCACCAAGGCGACGAUCAGUAGCUGGUCUGAGAGGAUGAUCAGCCACAUUGGGACUGAGACACGGCCCAAACUCCUACGGGAGGCAGCAGUGGGGAAUAUUGGACAAUGGGCGCAAGCCUGAUCCAGCCAUGCCGCGUGAGUGAUGAAGGCCCUAGGGUUGUAAAGCUCUUUUGUGCGGGAAGAUAAUGACGGUACCGCAAGAAUAAGCCCCGGCUAACUUCGCGCCAGUAGCCGC